RNAcentral lists this ribosomal RNA (484 nucleotides) under uncultured bacterium. Its description in RNAcentral is "partial 16S ribosomal RNA". It matches the Rfam family "Bacterial small subunit ribosomal RNA", at positions 28 to 523 of the family's 1533-position model. The record is from RNAcentral.
GACGAACGCUGGCGGCGUGCUUAACACAUGCAAGUCGAACGAUGAAGCCGGAGCUUGCUCUGGUGAAUUAGUGGCGAACGGGUGAGUAACACGUGAGUAACCUGCCCUUGACUCUGGGAUAACUGCUAGAAAUGGUAGCUAAUACCGGAUACGACCCUCGGCGGCAUCGCCAGGGGGUGGAAAGAAUUUCGGUCAAGGAUGGACUCGCGGCCUAUCAGCUAGUUGGUGAGGUAACGGCUCACCAAGGCGACGACGGGUAGCCGGGCUGAGAGGGUGACCGGCCACACUGGGACUGAGACACGGCCCAGACUCCUACGGGAGGCAGGAGUGGUGAAUAUUGCACAAUGGGCGCAAGCCUGAUGCAGCAACGCCGCGUGAGGGAUGGCGGCCUUCGGGUUGUAAACCUCUUUUAGUAGGGAAGAAGCGAAAGUGACGGUACCUGCAGAAAAAGCACCGGCUAACUACGUGCCAGCCGCCGCCGUAA